UGGAACUGUUAAGAACUUUGGGGACUCCUAGAGAUGGAUACAAUUCAUUUUGUAUAAAGAAACAGACAUGAUCUUUUGGGGACCAGAGGCUGUUUGGAUUUAGAUCUAGAAUGUUCCCUAGAAGGUUGUGUAUUUAGAGUUGGAGUUUCUAGAAGACAGAUUAUGGCAGCACUAGAUUAAUUCACUGAUGAGUUAUGGGUAACUAUGGUGUUAGAAAAUUAAGGAUUGGUCAAAGAGGUAGGUAGGUUACUGGGUCCGGGGGCGGGGGUGAGACCUAGAAGAGUUUGUCUCUCUUUCUGGCUCUCUUUUCUUUCUCUUUCUCCUGAAAAUCAUGUAAACUCCCCGCCUCCCGGCAGUGAUUGGGUCCUGGAGGUGCUGUAUCCAUUGGUAGACAAACCUGCUGAUGUGAUGAAUCCAUAGCUAAAAGUGCUGUUAGCAGGUGGGGUCUUGUCAGAAGAGGCUGGGGACACGACCUGGGUUUGUCUCCUUUCCUUCUUACCUUGCUUCUUGAUCUCCUUGACCUUAGCAACUGUCUUCUGCCAGCCCCUUCCCCCAUGCUGUUUCUGCAUCUGACUGCCAACUAUGGACUAAAAACUCCUGGAACUAUGAGCCAAAAUAAAUCUCUCCUCCCUUAAGCUGACGGUACCUGCUAUUUUGCCCUAGUGACAAUAAAGUGACUAAGGUUUUUUUUCUCAGUAAAAUUUUGUUUUGUUAAUCGCCUGACGGAGUAGUAACCCAACAAGACAAGCAUGAAAACAAUCUGCAAAAGAAGCGCCAUGAAACGGUACAGUACUCCUGCCUCUCACUGCACCUGCCUGUCCCGUAGCGGGCAGGAGCUCAUGACCUCGGAGCACCGAGAAACAGCAGGGCACACUGUGCUCUCGAAGAAAAGGGACCCCAUGACGCCCCCUCCCCGCCCAGAGAGGCGGCGCUGCCGUAAGACUUCCCUGGGCGACGGACGGCCUGGGUGCCUUCCCGCACUCCCGUCUCCCCAGCAGCAAGCCUGGCUGCAGGGCCAGCCCCUUCCAGGGGCCAGCCUGCCCUUUGCUGCCCCACGCCCCGGUGAGGCCGGAGGGGUGACACACAGGGGAUGCCAUGGCCAGCACUGGAAACAACUCUGACAAAGGGCAGCAUCUGAGCUGCCUAUGGCAUGGAGAAGGACACAGGGCUCCAAAAAACAACAGGAUUCAGCGAAGAGCGUUUCAGAGAUGCAGUAGCACCGAAUGUUGCUGAGAGCUGAAAUAACGACUGGAUUCAGCGAUGCACCUUGGGAGCACACGGACUGAGGAAAAGAACUGGGGCUCAAGGUGGGGAGGGGCGUCGGGGCUAUUUUUUUUUUUUUUUGAAAAGUUGGGAAGAAGGAA
This 1364-nucleotide long non-coding RNA is filed under the name Cavia porcellus (domestic guinea pig). RNAcentral describes it as "lncRNA (ENSCPOG00000033497.1)". Lineage: Eukaryota; Metazoa; Chordata; Mammalia; Rodentia; Caviidae. The record is from RNAcentral.